RNAcentral lists this ribosomal RNA (253 nucleotides) under uncultured bacterium. RNAcentral's name for it is "partial 16S ribosomal RNA". It matches the Rfam family "Bacterial small subunit ribosomal RNA", at positions 524 to 776 of the family's 1533-position model. The record is from RNAcentral.
UACAGAGGUCUCAAGCGCUGUUCGGAUUCAUUGGGCGUAAAGGGUGCGUAGGUGGCGCUGUAAGUCGGGUGUGAAAUUUCGGAGCUUAACUCCGAAACUGCAUUCGAUACUGCGGUGCUUGAGGACUGGAGAGGAGACUGGAAUUCAUGGUGUAGCAGUGAAAUGCGUAGAUAUCGUAAGGAAGACCAGUGGCGAAGGCGGGUCUCUGGACAGUUCCUGACGCUGAGGCACGAAGGUCAGGGGAGCAAACGGG